UCUGCUUCAAGAAUCUACUCACACCAGUAUGUCCAGGCCUGGCAAUUUUCAGGAUAGCAAACAAAGCUGUGAAUCAAGUGAAGAUGAAUUUACCAGAAUUCCAGUCUGGCAUGGAAAAAGCUGUUGCUUCAUUACCAGUGGUAUAGGUCUAUAGAUGAAAAGCACACAAAAUUGCCACUGAUUUAGCAAAGAGGAGAAAUAAAGUUAAGAAACAGAUGACAUGUUUACCAAGAC
This is a long non-coding RNA of Fukomys damarensis (Damara mole-rat), 234 nucleotides long. RefSeq lists it as uncharacterized. NCBI's taxonomy places the organism in Eukaryota, Metazoa, Chordata, Mammalia, Rodentia, Bathyergidae. The transcript has 3 exons. The record is from RefSeq and is a predicted model, not a curated record.